This 70-nucleotide transfer RNA is filed under the name Glenea cantor. RNAcentral's name for it is "tRNA-Lys". Lineage: Eukaryota; Metazoa; Arthropoda; Insecta; Coleoptera; Cerambycidae. The record is from RNAcentral.
CAUUAGAUGGCUGAAAGUAAGCAAUGGAAUUUUAAACCAUACUAUAGUACCUCACAACUACUUCUAAUGG